UUCUAAUAUGGCAGAAUAGUGCAAUGGAUUUAAGACCCAUACAUAAAGUUUACCUUUUUUUAGA
This 64-nucleotide transfer RNA is filed under the name Lampyridae sp. 2 ACP-2013. RNAcentral describes it as "tRNA-Leu". The record is from RNAcentral. Lineage: Eukaryota; Metazoa; Arthropoda; Insecta; Coleoptera; Lampyridae.